Non-coding RNA from Lolium perenne, 1141 nucleotides. The record is from RefSeq and is a predicted model, not a curated record. Lineage: Eukaryota; Viridiplantae; Streptophyta; Magnoliopsida; Poales; Poaceae.
AAGUGACAAUGCAAGCAACAUCGGUCAGAGAUAUCAAACCUCGAGGAUCUCCAAGGAGUGAUGUUGUACGCAUCACACGAUCAUAGGAGAACCGGAACAAAGACCAGGAAUUCUAUGAGAUAGGAUUCAUGUUCGUUCAUCAUUCGGGCACCGCCAUAGAAGGUUCCCUGCUCGAAGACCGUAUAGAUCAGUUCAAGGACAAACUAAAAGAAGGCAGAGUAUACAAACUGGAGUCCUUCAUGACUUUCUCGCAAAUGCCCUACCUGCCGCACCCAAACGAGCGCUGCAGGUAUAGUUAUGGGCAAACAAACAGCAAGUAUCAGAUAAAUAAUUGCAUCUUAUGGAUGCACAUCCUAAAAGGCAGUUCAUACAAGCUGAAGGUUAGCGCAGUACAUGUCGAGCCGAACGCUGAAGACUUAUCCAUCAGUCACCGCCUGACAUUCUUUGGUAACUGCGCCGAGGCUCUAACGGGCAAAGAAGCAGAACUUCUUGCUCCACUUACUAAAGGCUGUCCUAAUUAUGUCCCUCCUGCUGUUAUUGCCGCAGUUGGCAAGAAGUGCACUAUCACUGCGGAGGUAGACCAGGAAACCUAUGAUGCUAAUCCUGGAAUAGUAUUCCUUACCAUCUCAAAGGCCCAGCUAAUCACCGAUUCAGUGCAAGUAGUGGAACCUUCUACCCACACUAGCCCUGCAAUAACUGACAAAUGCGAUUACACCGGCUGACGACCUCCCAGAAGGCAGCUCCUCACAGGCAACCUCCGAAAGACAUACUUGAACCUAUCAAUGCUGACGAAGAGGAGGACAUGGGUAAGGGAAACAAAGACAAGAAGAGGAAGAGCACUCACUUCAAGAAAGGACCUGCAAGUAAACUUUGCCUUUUCAGACUACCGUCGCAGGAUAGGACUAGGACAAGCACACCAUCAAGGCGCGAGACAAAUAAACGAAGCACUCACCUACAUAUGAAGUUUCUUACCAGCCUCUCACCUCUGCCUCUCAAGUUUAUGUUAUCUAAUAGUAUCCCAGAUCAGUAGCAUUGCAAUCUCCCAAGGUUGCAUACGUAAGACUCUAUAUGUAAAAGUUUGCUCUUCAGACCGUGCUACUAUCUAUGUAUAAUUAUCCAGUAUGUAAACCUUUGUUCUCUA